RNAcentral lists this ribosomal RNA (301 nucleotides) under uncultured bacterium. Its description in RNAcentral is "partial 16S ribosomal RNA". It matches the Rfam family "Bacterial small subunit ribosomal RNA", at positions 509 to 807 of the family's 1533-position model. The record is from RNAcentral.
CAGUAGCCGCGGUAAUACGUAGGGUGCAAGCGUUAAUCGGAAUUACUGGGCGUAAAGCGUGCGCAGGCGGUUAUAUAAGUCAGAUGUGAAAUCCCCGGGCUCAACCUGGGAACUGCAUUUGAGACUGUAUGGCUAGAGUGUGUCAGAGGGGGGUAGAAUUCCACGUGUAGCAGUGAAAUGCGUAGAGAUGUGGAGGAAUACCGAUGGCGAAGGCAGCCCCCUGGGCCAAUACUGACGCUCAUGCACGAAAGCGUGGGGAGCAAACAGGAUUAGAUACCCCGGUAGUCCCUGUCUCUUAUAC